RNAcentral lists this ribosomal RNA (468 nucleotides) under uncultured Thauera sp. RNAcentral describes it as "bacterial SSU rRNA". It matches the Rfam family "Bacterial small subunit ribosomal RNA", at positions 916 to 1381 of the family's 1533-position model. Lineage: Bacteria; Pseudomonadati; Pseudomonadota; Betaproteobacteria; Rhodocyclales; Zoogloeaceae. The record is from RNAcentral.
GACGGGGCCCGCACAAGCGGUGGAGCAUGUGGUUAAUUCGAAGCAACGCGAAGAACCUUACCAGGUCUUGACAUCCCUGACAACCCGAGAGAUCGGGCGUUCCCCUUCGGGGGACAGGGUGACAGGUGGUGCAUGGUUGUCGUCAGCUCGUGUCGUGAGAUGUUGGGUUAAGUCCCGCAACGAGCGCAACCCUUGUCAUUAGUUGCCAUCAUUUAGUUGGGCACUCUAAUGAGACUGCCGGUGACAAACCGGAGGAAGGUGGGGAUGACGUCAAGUCCUCAUGGCCCUUAUGGGUAGGGCUUCACACGUCAUACAAUGGUCGGUACAGAGGGUUGCCAAGCCGCGAGGUGGAGCCAAUCCCUUAAAGCCGAUCGUAGUCCGGAUCGUAGUCUGCAACUCGACUACGUGAAGUCGGAAUCGCUAGUAAUCGCAGAUCAGCAUGCUGCGGUGAAUACGUUCCCGGGUCUU